GACGAACGCUGGCGGCGUGCUUAACACAUGCAAGUCGAACGGAAAGGCCCUGCUUUUGUGGGGUGCUCGAGUGGCGAACGGGUGAGUAACACGAGAGUAACCUGCUCUUGACUUUGGGAUAACUUCAGGAAACUGGGGCUAAUACCGGAUAGCAGAUCCUGCUGCAUGGAGGGGGUUGGAAAGUUGCGGCGGGCGGGGAUGGACUCGCGGCUUAUCAGCUUGCUGGUGGGGGAGUGGCUUACCAAGGCAUUGACGGGUAGCCGGCCUGGGAGGGUGACCGGCCACAUGAGUACUGAGGGACGGCCCAGACUCCAACGGGAGGCAGCAGUGGGGAGUAUGACACAAUGGGCGGAAGCCUGAUGCAGCAACGUCGCGUGCGUGAUGACGGCCUGCGGGUUGUAAACCGCUUUCGCCUGUGACGAAGCGUGAGUGACGGUAAUGAAUAAAGAAGCACCGGCUAACUACGUG
Molecule: ribosomal RNA, 468 nt
Filed under: uncultured bacterium
Lineage: Bacteria
Description: partial 16S ribosomal RNA
Rfam family: Bacterial small subunit ribosomal RNA
Source: RNAcentral